Molecule: long non-coding RNA, 3373 nt
Organism: Poecilia latipinna (sailfin molly)
Lineage: Eukaryota; Metazoa; Chordata; Actinopteri; Cyprinodontiformes; Poeciliidae
Exons: 2
Source: RefSeq, a predicted model, not a curated record
CGAGGAGGAGGGGAAAGAAAUUCAGCAUUUAAAAGUGCAACCGUCAAUCACCGUGAAACACACGCUGGAGGCAAUUUCCCAUAUAUUCCCGGUGAUUACCUCGCUCCGUUAUUAGAUUUAUUCGAACUCAACUCACGUUCGUCACUUUUAAAUGCCUUGCGCCUGCGCGUAAAGAAUCCGGGAGCUGUCCAAGUGCUGAACUGAAAGAAGAAAAAGAAGAAGGGGGGAAAAAAACGAGGCGUUCCUCUCUCAUUCCUUGACAGCCCCUCUCACCUGAAAACGGUUUCACUUCAUAGAUGCCAGCAAGCCUGGAAGCAGGUCGAAGCCUUUUUAGAUCUCAAUCCACCGCCUGAAGAGGAGCUGCAAGUCGACGCGUCUUGGAGUUAACAUAAUUUCGACGGUUCUUUUAUUUUUAUUAUUUUUAUUUCCUCCCCCCUCCCCCUCCCCCCCCCGACCCCAAGGACUGUUGUUUCUCCCCGCCUUUGCUUCGAGCAGUUUGAUUUUGUGUGCUGGAGUUUUUCUGUGAAACUGAACUAUGAUCUUUGGCCGCUUUGAGGAAUGUCUCCCGCGUUUCUGCGUGACCCGAGACAGCCCGAACGCCAACGACUUGGUCAGGAGGAGAACGCCGCUGUUCCCGUCUGGAUUAUGUGUUUGACUGAUGUGAACCAUAUGGAAGAAAUAGAAUAGAAAAGUGAAGCACAUGGGGAAACCACCGGGAAUGAAACAAUCCUUCUUUAAGGUUUUAGCAGCUAUCUUCACAUACUUCCUGGAGAUGAGCAACUUCAGAGCUGUGGUCGCCAAGGAGUACGAUUCCAGGUCCUCAUCCAACAUGUCUCCAUCAGACUUUCUGGACUCCUUAAUGGGUCGCACGUCCGGGUACGAUGCACGAAUUAGACCCAAUUUCAAAGGUUUGUCCGCAACCAAAUGAGUCUCACCACACACGCACGCAAACACACACACAUUUCACUUCCCACAUUUUGAGAACUAUAAAUAGCCACAGAAAUGCCACUGUAAGUGUAAACACUAAUCUUUUUAACCAGUUGCGUACUGGAUUCUAUCUGUUGCCAAGGAACUGGGCUUCAAGCAACUCGGAGGCAACAAUCAAUCACUUCAAUUAACAGUAACAGCGAGGACCCUGCUUAGAUUUAAUCACAGUCCACACUGUGCCACUCAAUGAUGGUUUUCUUAUCUGAAAGCUGUCUAAAAUUCAAUAUCCACCUUUAUUAAAUGUGAGAUCAGAAUCGGGAGCUGGAAAUAUCCCAGCAACACAGAAAUAAGACACGUUCUCACUUCAGACAGGGAUGCCGGCUAGACGAUUGAUGGUGCCCCAGUGGCUAGACUGCAGGCUCUGCUGCUGUUGUUGCUUUGAUGCUGAGGACACACACAGCUUCUGUCAUUGGAAUGGUUUUGAGUGAGCAAAGGUUUCGCUUAUGGGGGGCUAAGGCCCACUCUUAGCUUCUGGGGUCACCUGGGAUGUUGUUUGUUACAGUCCAUGGACUCCAGUAGGUAAAGCAGCUUGAAAAUACAGGACGGGGAAAAGCACAACGAUCCAUUGUCUGUACCUCGGUUUUCUUGCAAGGUCACAGGGGACUGGUGUUUAUCUCCGGCAGUCAUAGGGCAAGAGGUGGUGUAGACGUGGUCACCAGCCCUUCACAGGGUCACAACAAUAUAGAAUACAUUUUUCUUGGAAUUUUUACAUCACAGACAAACAUAUAGUAGCACAUUAUUGAGGUGGAACUAAAAUUAAACAAUCCACAUAGUGUAGUCCUCUUUAAAAUAAUAAUAAUAAUAAUAAUUUUAAUCCAAUGCUACUUAAUACAAUUCAGUUCCACCGACUAUCUAUAGUAAAUAGAGUCCACCUGCAGGCAAUUUAAUCUCAGCAUGGAUGCAGCUGUUUUGUGAAGAUCUCAGAGGUUAUGCAGAGAACAUCUGUGAGCAACCAGCAUCACAAAGAACAAGGAAUAUAUCCGACUGCUCAGGGAUAAAACUGUGAAGAAGUUCACAGCUGCAAGCUUUAAGAGUUACAAUGGACUGGUUUAAAUAAAAACUUUUUAAUAUGGCUGCUCAAAGCCCAGAUUUACUUCCAAUAGAGAAUCUCUUAAAAUUUGUUGAUAACACGAACUGAGCCAUAGCUAUUAUGCUCUGAAUAUGGUGGAAACAUGUUCAGAUCUGUUGGUGGUACAACCGAACAUAUACAGUUGUAAAUGCAGUGAAAGUUGGUCUUGUCAAGUAAUAACUCAGUUUUAGCUAAGCACUCACUAAACGAUAUCACACUUUUCAGAUGUAAACUUGUUUGUUUUUCUUCCUGACUAUUAUCCACUGCAGUGUGUUUGUGUAUGACAUAAACUCUGAAUAAAAAGAGUCAAAGUUUUUAACUGAAACAAAAACAACAAAAAAAUGUGAAAGAAGGUAUGAAUAUUUAAUUCCUGUAUGCCAUAUAUUCUUUGUCUCUUAGGGGAAUCUGGCACAUGUCAAGAUUUCUGUGACACAUAUGAGAUGAUAAGAAGAAUUGUUAUAUUUUUAGAUAGUACUGAUACAUAAAACAUCGAUUUUUGCUGAUUUAACCUGGUUGUUUUAAUGCUAGAAGUGAGAGCGGGGUCCUCUCUCUGUAUUAAACACAUAGAGCUUCACAUGUUGCAGUCAGAAAGCAAGCACAUCCACAUUAAGCCGCUGUGCUGUAAACAGUUAGUUUUUGCUCAUGAACCUGCUAGACGUACUUUGAAGAGUGUCGAACCGUGUUUCUAAAGAGGCUGACCUAGAUUUCCAAUGCCGAGUUUGUUAUGAGGAGCUGCUGCCAGUUACCUCUUUCUGCUGUAAAAAUGUGGAAACUUGACAACAAACAGAGGCAAAUAUUAAUACAGAGAGCCAUGAAAUAUUAAUGUGGAAAACACAGGGGAAAGGCAGUAGGAAGAGCUUACAACUUCACUUAUCAGCUUGGGGAGAAAGAUUUGCUGUGACUCGUAAUGCAAGUCUUGCAAAGAUAUUUUAGUUCAGGGAGCUGCAGAGAAAAACUACCUUCCCUACUGGAGUAUAUAGGAUAGAUUGCCUUAUUCUGUUGUAGAGAAAAUGUUUAUUUGAUGGUUUAGAAUUGAAGCAUGACCUUUCACUAUCAAAUACACUUGCUUUGUUAAUUUAUUACAAAUGAACAUUUUAUAGUGAUUUUGAUAUAUUUGAUGAUUUUUUUUUCUGAUCAUAACCCCAACUUAUAUUUGCAGCACCAAUGAGUACCUCAAGUAUUCACUCCUCUUUCAAUUUCAUUUUUUUUAUGCUAUAACCACAAACUAAAUACAAUUUAUCUGGAUGUAACGUGACAGCAUGUAGGAAAGAAAACUAGUUUGUAGUUCAAAAUUUGAAACAGAAAUCUAAAAAGGAA